This 233-nucleotide long non-coding RNA is filed under the name Panax ginseng (ginseng). RNAcentral describes it as "long non-coding RNA (PGIN_LNC008856)". The record is from RNAcentral. Lineage: Eukaryota; Viridiplantae; Streptophyta; Magnoliopsida; Apiales; Araliaceae.
UUAUUUACUACUUAGUUGGAGAGUUAGGAAAUUGAAGUAAGGUGGCUGGAAAGUGACAACCUCCUUAGGGACUGUGUAGACUGUCAUUUGAGGUGACUAUCUAGUCUUUUAGGGGCUGAGUCAGAGACCAAGCUAGGGGCCAGAUAGAGGCAAAGGUGGGGAAGCUGACUAGGGAGGAGCUUAGCCAUAUAGAGCUAACUCUUCCCCGGCUUCAGUUGGAAAGGAAAGGAAAG